AUCCCAUAACGAGGACACUUACGAAGCAAUUCUUUCAAUCUUUCCCACGCCUCGUAUAAGGACUCGUCAUCAAAUUGUUAAAAAUUAGUUAUUUCAUUUCACAACUU
Molecule: small nucleolar RNA, 107 nt
Organism: Gossypium raimondii (Peruvian cotton)
Lineage: Eukaryota; Viridiplantae; Streptophyta; Magnoliopsida; Malvales; Malvaceae
Rfam family: Plant small nucleolar RNA R71
About the family: R71 is a member of the C/D box family of snoRNAs containing the C (UGAUGA) and D (CUGA) box motifs.
Source: Rfam